UCACUCGUUCCUCUCCUUCCCUCACAACCGCCUUACCCCACCCGCUGUCGCCGUCGAUCCAGCUUGUCGCCUCAACCCUCCACCGAUUUGGCCUCCCUCUCUCCUCCACGACCUACCUUUCGCCUCCCACCCCCAACCAACAACCCUUCACCUCCUACCCCCAACUGAUGACAACAAUGGAAGAUCUAGCGGCAACAAUGGAAGCUCCAACGGUAGCAGAUCGGGCGGUAGCAAUGGUAGUAAAUCGGGCGGCAGAUCCAACUCUGUUGGGCAUUUCACAUGAGUUUUCCGUUGAGUAUGGUUUGGGCUGGGUUUUCCGGUGGGUUUGGACUGUUUUUGGGUUGGGUUUACCGGAUGCGGUGUUUGGUGGUGGCGCUGGGUUUGGUGGUUGGGUGGUUAUUUUCUUCUUCCUUCUUCUUAUUUUGGCGCGCUGGAUUUUUGUAAAGGUUUGGGAAGAGAAGUAGUUUGAUAGAGGAGAGAGAAAAAAAGAAUAAAAAAAUAUUUUACACAUGAACAGUAACCAUGUAUAUAUACACAGUUACUAUUAGGAGUGAGCAAAUAAAUACCAGAGCCGACCCAACCGAUCGGCGCCGACGACACCGUCCCGACACCAGCGCCGACUGAAUGAGCCGAGGCUGGCGUUUGGAGGGCGAAGCCCGUUCCGACGCCGGUGCGGUGCAGUCACCGGAUCAAAGAAGGCGAAACCGAUCCACACCGAUACCAAACCCAAUAUUUGUUUCUCCCUACAAUUUGGAUACAAUGUUGUUCACAGGUUCUGAUUAAUUUUUUUUUUUUUUUUUUAAUGAAAUGACGUUGUAUGGGUGUGAUUAAAAACAAAAAAAACAAAAGCAAAAGCAAAACGAUGCAUUUUAUGCUAGGUUUUCAGAUUCUUAAGGCCAUAUAAAUUCAUUCUUUUGUCCUGAUAUCCUUUAACUCUCUCUCUCUUGCUCUCGCCUCUUAGACUCGCCUGACGCAGUGACGCUUGCCUAAGCUCUCGCUUGAGCUCUCGCCGUCGCUCACCAGUCACGGCAAACCAACGAUAAGCAUGAAUGAUUCUUAAUCUCAUGUACUUCAUAGUUUUUUGGGGUUGUAAAAUAUAGUACAAUGGGUUUUAGGCUUGUAAGAGAAGUGAAGUUUAUGAUUUUGAUUUAUUGGUGAGAGCUUGUGUUUGUGUUUGUGUCUGUAUUUGUCUUUGUGUUUGCGAGUGAUUCAGAGUUUUUUGUAUUUGGUGAGGUUCUGAGUGUCGUGUGCACUGUGUAUCAUAAGCAUAAAAUAAAUGACUUUGUGUUUGUGUUUGACUUUAGUCCCACUUAAGCACUUACUUUAAUAUGUCUUUGUAUUUCUGAGUUUUGUAUGUAUUUGUCUUUGUGUUUGCGAGUAAUUUAAUAUAUCCUUGGAUCAUUACUAUUUGGCUGAACAAAUUUGUUGAAUAGUGGUUUUUUUUUUUUUUUUUUUUUUUU
This is a long non-coding RNA of Quercus robur (English oak), 1460 nucleotides long. RefSeq lists it as uncharacterized. The transcript has 2 exons. The record is from RefSeq and is a predicted model, not a curated record. Lineage: Eukaryota; Viridiplantae; Streptophyta; Magnoliopsida; Fagales; Fagaceae.